CCUCAAAUCAGGUAGGACUACCCGCUGAACUUAAGCAUAUCAAUAGGCGGAGGAAAAGAAACUAACAAGGAUUCCCCUAGUAACUGCGAGUGAAGAGGGAAAAGCUCAAAUUUAAAAUCUGGCAGUCUUUGGCUGUCCGAGUUGUAAUUUAGAGAAGUGUUACCCGCGUUGGACCGUGUAUAAGUCUCCUGGAAUGGAGCGUCAUAGAGGGUGAGAAUCCCGUCUUUGACACGGACUACCAAGGCUUUGUGGUGCGCUCUCAAAGAGUCGUGUUGUUUGGGAAUGCAGCACUAAAUGGGUGGUAAAUUCCAUCUAAAGCUAAAUAUUGGCGAGAGACCGAUAGCGAACAAGUACCGUGAGGGAAAGAUGAAAAGAACUUUGGAAAGAGAGUUAAACAGUACGUGAAAUUGCUGAAAGGGAAACGCUUGAAGUCAGUCGCGUUGGCUAGGGAUCAACCUUGCUUUUGUGGGGUGUACUUCCUAAUCAACGGGUCAACAUCAGUUUUGAUCACUGGAAAAAGGCUAGUUGAAUGUGGCAUCUCCGGAUGUGUUAUAGCUUCUAGUCAUAUACAGUGGUUGGGACUGAGGAACUCAGCACGCCGCAAGGCCGGGUUUUUAACCACGUACGUGCUUAGGAUGU
Molecule: ribosomal RNA, 639 nt
Filed under: uncultured Basidiomycota
Lineage: Eukaryota; Fungi; Basidiomycota
Description: LSU rRNA
Rfam family: Eukaryotic large subunit ribosomal RNA
Source: RNAcentral